This 547-nucleotide ribosomal RNA is filed under the name uncultured bacterium. Its description in RNAcentral is "bacterial SSU rRNA". It matches the Rfam family "Bacterial small subunit ribosomal RNA", at positions 355 to 896 of the family's 1533-position model. The record is from RNAcentral.
UGGGGAAUAUUGCGCAAUGGGGGGAACCCUGACGCAGCCAUGCCGCGUGAAUGAAGAAGGCCUUAGGGUUGUAAAGUUCUUUCGGUAUUGAGGAAGGUUGAUGUGUUAAUAGCACAUCAAAUUGACGUUAAAUACAGAAGAAGCACUGGNUAACNNCGUGCCAGCAGCCGCGGUAAUACGGAGGGUGCGAGCGUUAAUCGGAAUAACUGGGCGUAAAGGGCACGCAGGCGGUUAUUUAAGUGAGGUGUGAAAGCCCCGGGCUUAACCUGGGAAUUGCAUUUCAGACUGGGUAACUAGAGUACUUUAGGGAGGGGUAGAAUUCCACGUGUAGCGGUGAAAUGCGUAGAGAUGUGGAGGAAUACCGAAGGCGAAGGCAGCCCCUUGGGAAUGUACUGACGCUCAUGUGCGAAAGCGUGGGGAGCAAACAGGAUUAGAUACCCUGGUAGUCCACGCUGUAAACGCUGUCGAUUUGGGGGUUGGGGUUUAACUCUGGCGCCCGUAGCUAACGUGAUAAAUCGACCGCCUGGGGAGUACGGCCGCAAGGUUA